Long non-coding RNA from Amphiprion ocellaris (clown anemonefish), 1921 nucleotides. RefSeq lists it as uncharacterized. NCBI's taxonomy places the organism in Eukaryota, Metazoa, Chordata, Actinopteri, Pomacentridae. The record is from RefSeq and is a predicted model, not a curated record. The transcript has 6 exons.
GAUUAUUAGUUAAGCUGAAAAUCACUGGCAGUCCAGUUCUUUAUUGUGUUUAAUUUAGUUGAGUUGAUUGGGUUUAAUUUACGGGAAAAGGCCUAAAUCUUGAAAGAAGAUGGCCAGACUCCUGUCUCUUGUACUUUUGUUGGGUGUUUUGUUGAUAUUUCUUGGUGUGAACUGCAGCAGCUUUGUGGCGUCUCGUAUGUUAUGGAUUCUGAUGGCUGCAGUUUUCUUCUUGUUCUUAUUAAACUUUGUUGGUUUGCCUGUCUUUUAGCAGAGAAGGUGACCAUAUGAAGUCAUCAAAGGACAAAUACAGCACCAACGAUGUUAGAGGAGGGAUACACCUGUUUUUCCUCAGUUUAACCUCCUCUAGAAGCCUAAAAGUGCAUCUAAGGGUUUGGAAGAUCCUCCAUGAUGUCGGAAGAGGAAAAAUUCUCGGGCCACCAGAGGAGAGAGGAUGCGGGAGGCGUCCUCACCGGCGGCCUCCAAAAUCACUCCUACGAUACCUCGGCGAGACUUUUCUUGCGUUGCGAGGUGUGGGGGGGGGGAAAAAGUAUGAUGAAACUGCGAAACAAUCACCAAUGUGGUGACACAUUUCUUGAAGGUAAGCAAUUUCCAUGCAUGUUAAGAGCUUAGCAUCGACGCAGCACUAUUCAUAUCAGUUUACCAUUAUGAUGCAAAUGAUAACAGUGGUGCCUGGCUCCCUUGUCUUCUCCCUUUUCUUCUGCACUUUCUACCAUGAGCGGCUACAGAUGCACACCUACAUUGCAGCGUUCACACACACGAUAAAAUUCACCCAGCUCCAUUGCUUAUCCCCUUUGUUUGAGCUGAUUGGAUCUGUGGCGAUCACAUGUUUACCCAGAGCGCUAUCUCUUUGAGAAACCUCCGUCACGGGUAGCGGAGAGUAACGUUUGCCUCUUUUUGUGUUUUCCUUUUAUUUUGGAGACGGGCACGCACACACGGUCUUUAUGUAUAUAUGCUAAUAGGCUGGCUAACACGGUUUCACACUGUUUGUUUCUGAAAAUGAUGCAACUUGCCAGACAUCCUUUUUUUCCCUUUUUUUUGCUGAUGUUCACAGUUUCUUUUUUCUCUCUCUCUCUUUCCCCUCGCUUUUUUCUCAAGGUGGCGGGCAUUUUGGAGAGAGAGAGAGAGAGAGAGAGGAAAGGGAAGAAGAAGAAGAAGGCAGGGAGGGGAAGAGGAGGACGAGGCGAGGAGGGGGAGGCGUGUGUUCAAAAUCCACAAAGGUUUUGUAAUAAAUGCAUCGGCGACAAUAAAAACAAAAACAUUAAAGGGAGAAAAGACGUGUUUCUGUGUUAAACAAUUAGUGCUGCAGCAUUAGAGCCGAUCAGGAGGAGACAAAAGCUCGGCAGCAGCAGGGGUUUACCCCAGACACAAAGACACAAAGACAGAUGCUCUGCAGCCCAGCCAAGCUACACCACCACACCAGCUUCCAGUGGAGCUGCAUGGAACCACAUCCACCAUCCAGCCGUCUGUAGGUCUGCAGCAGAACGGCAAAGGAACGGAACUGGAACACUUCUACACGUCUGCUCUGAAAUACGCUACUAUAUCUCAAGCACACCAGCUCACCUCAAAAAUCCCCAGUUCGCAUCCCGGUCUUCCUGGGAUCUUUCUGCAUGGAGUUUGCAUGUUCUCCCUGUGCAUGCGUGGGUUUUCUCCAGGUUCUCCAGCUUCCUCCCACAGUCCAAAAACAUGCUGAGUGUAUUUGGUCCACCGAUGUUCAAGCUUCCCUUCAUGGAAGAUGGUCACAUCUUGAGCCUCCAGAUUCUCCUUAAGAGCACACAUGACCUCAUCAUCACUCUGAAAAUGGCAUCCAAGCAAGUGAGGCUGAGAACUUUGAAGUACCCUUUUAUAGAAGAAUCUGUCCAAUAUCAACACCACUUCUACUGCGUGUGUGUCAUCGGUAAGG